ACCUACGGGGGGCAGCAGUGAGGAAUAUUGGUCAAUGGGCGGGGGCCUGAACCAGCCAAGCCGCGUGAGGGAAGAAGGUACAGCGUAUCGUAAACCUCUUUCGUCAGGGAACAAAGGCGGGGACUAGUCCCCGGAUGAGGGUACCUGAAGAAAAAGCAUCGGCUAACUCCGUGCCAGCAGCCGCGGUAAUACGGAGGAUGCGAGCGUUAUCCGGAUUUAUUGGGUUUAAAGGGUGCGCAGGCGGCCUGUUAAGUCAGCGGUAAAAGCCCGGGGCUCAACCCCGGCGGGCCGUUGAAACUGGCGGG
Molecule: ribosomal RNA, 305 nt
Filed under: uncultured bacterium
Lineage: Bacteria
Description: bacterial SSU rRNA
Rfam family: Bacterial small subunit ribosomal RNA
Source: RNAcentral